RNAcentral lists this ribosomal RNA (434 nucleotides) under uncultured bacterium. RNAcentral's name for it is "partial 16S ribosomal RNA". It matches the Rfam family "Bacterial small subunit ribosomal RNA", at positions 29 to 507 of the family's 1533-position model. The record is from RNAcentral.
AGCGAACGCUGGCGGCAGGCCUAACACAUGCAAGUCGAACGGACCUUUCGGGGUUAGUGGCGGACGGGUGAGUAACACGUGGGAACGUGCCUUUAGGUUCGGAAUAGCUCCUGGAAACGGGUGGUAAUGCCGAAUGUGCCCUUCGGGGGAAAGACUUAUCGCCUUUAGAGCGGCCCGCGUCUGAUUAGCUAGUUGGUUGAGGUAACGGCUCACCAAGGCGACGAUCAGUAGCUGGUCUGAGAGGAUGGCCAGCCACAUUGGGACUGAGACACGGCCCAAACUCCUACGGGAGGCAGCAGUGGGGAAUCUUGCGCAAUGGGCGAAAGCCUGACGCAGCCAUGCCGCGUGAAUGAUGAAGGUCUUAGGAUUGUAAAAUUCUUUCACCGGGGACGAUAAUGACGGUACCCGGAGAAGAAGCCCCGGCUAACUUCGUG